CCCUUAGAUGUUCUGGGCUGCACGCGCGCUACACUGAAGCUAUCAACACGUUUUCCCUCCCUGAGAAGGGCGGGUAACCUUUCGAAUCAGCUUCGUGGUAGGGAUCGGGGCUUGCAAUUGUUCCCCGUGAACCAGGAAUUCCUAGUAGACGCGAGUCAUAAGCUCGCAUCGAUUAAGUCCCUGCCCUUUGUACACACCGCCCGUCGCUACUACCGAUUGAACGUUUUAGUGAGGCAUUUGGACCGACGCAUCUCAGUUUAACCGCUGGUUUGUGUUGGAAAGACUUCCAAACUUGAGCGUUUAGAGGAAGUAAAAGUCGUAACA
RNAcentral lists this ribosomal RNA (324 nucleotides) under uncultured eukaryote. RNAcentral's name for it is "partial 18S ribosomal RNA". It matches the Rfam family "Eukaryotic small subunit ribosomal RNA", at positions 1470 to 1796 of the family's 1831-position model. The record is from RNAcentral.